AAAAAGUACAUUUUUCAGUUUUUAUAAAACAUUUGACUUUUCAUCUUAUUGAAAAAAAUAUUAUAAUUACUACUUUUGUUGUUAUUAGAUGAUAAAAUAUGAAUAGUAUUUUAUUUGUAACUAUUUUUUAUUUUUUUAAUAAAUUUUAUAAUAAGAAGGAUGGUCGAACGUUGGAAAAGAAACCAAAAAUGCUACGCAUCCU
This 202-nucleotide microRNA precursor is filed under the name Oryza nivara. Its description in RNAcentral is "MIR812 microRNA precursor family". It matches the Rfam family "MIR812 microRNA precursor family". The record is from Rfam by way of RNAcentral. Lineage: Eukaryota; Viridiplantae; Streptophyta; Magnoliopsida; Poales; Poaceae.